RNAcentral lists this long non-coding RNA (609 nucleotides) under Numida meleagris (helmeted guineafowl). RNAcentral's name for it is "lncRNA (ENSNMEG00000018143.1)". Lineage: Eukaryota; Metazoa; Chordata; Aves; Galliformes; Numididae. The record is from RNAcentral.
UAUUAAAGGCAGAAAUCAAAGCACAGGACCCAUGGGAAGCGGCGUUUCAAAUGUACUCCAUCGCUUUUCUUUGUCAUUGUUCUGAACUAUGCACCCUCUGCUCCUGACAGCACACCCACAACGAGAUAAGGAGUUUGUAUGAGUAUGCAUAUGUGUCUUCUGUGGGAAAAGGAGCAAUGGCUUGCCCCGCACACUGCCCACCAGAUUGGAAGAAGAUAUAAUGAAUGCAUCUUCUCUGCAUCACAAGAAAAAGGCUAUUUCAACUUAACAGAACAUUUCAAUCUCAGUCAAAAUGGGGCAUCUUCAACAUAAGGUUGUCUGCAGUCAUGCGGUCUGCUCUGCUUCCCCAGCUCACUGGAGCCCACCUCCAGGCAGCCCAGGGCUCGGGAACCCUCUGUGCAGUGCCCUGGAGAACAGAGGGUGCAGCUGAGGAUUGGAGUAUAAAGGAAAAGAAAAGGUAUCUACUGCAGGUGCUCUCCAGCCCACUGAUUGCAUUUUCUUUGUCCUUCUGGAAUAGAGCUGGGUGACAUCUUACAGUCAAAUCCUAUUUCCCAUUAAAAAUGCAGAUUCUGGUCUAUGGAAUUAUUUAACACAUUUCUAUUUAAUUAA